UUCGGAUGAAGGUCUGGUGACUGAGUGGCGGACGGGUGAGUAACGCGUGGGUAGCCUGCCCUGUACAGGGGGAUAACAGUCAGAAAUGACUGCUAAUACCGCAUAAGACCACAGCACCGCAUGGCGCAGGGGUAAAAACUCCGGUGGUACAGGAUGGACCCGCGUCUGAUUAGCUGGUUGGUGAGGUAACGGCUCACCAAGGCGACGAUCAGUAGCCGGCUUGAGAGAGUGAACGGCCACAUUGAGACUGAGACACGGUCCAAACUCC
RNAcentral lists this ribosomal RNA (268 nucleotides) under uncultured Eubacteriales bacterium. RNAcentral describes it as "uncultured Clostridiales bacterium partial 16S ribosomal RNA". It matches the Rfam family "Bacterial small subunit ribosomal RNA", at positions 72 to 339 of the family's 1533-position model. The record is from RNAcentral. Lineage: Bacteria; Bacillati; Bacillota; Clostridia; Eubacteriales.